CGCAUCUUUUCGACGCCGGGUCCUAGCGCCCGCUCGCGCCCUCGGAGACACAUUCCCGAACCUAUUUGUCUUCUCCCUUCUUCCCCACUACGCUCACACUCUUCUCCAGGUUCCCUCAUUAAGGGCAGCUCUCUACCUGGCGGUCUCGCGGUUCCUUAACUGCUCACCCCCAUCUCCCUUUAGUGUGGUUCUCCCCACCCGUACCACAACUUCCCUCACGCUACUCGACACGCCUCCUUCCCCCUCCGCCCAGGCGCGCGCUCUCCACCUGGUGCGUACGGAGAUCGAACCCUCUCCUCCGAACCCCUCCUUUCGCCUUCCCCGCCCCCUCCCCUCCGCCUCGAGCACCGCGCGCGCGCAUUCGGUCCCAGCCACCGCUAACACUAGAAGCUGCUUACCCCCGCCCCCUCCACCCUACUCCUGGCGGCCUCAGGCGACGCCGAGUGAGGCUGAGGCUGGGGGCGAAUCGCCGCAGAGCUGCGUGUCGGCGGCGCAUUCUGAUUGGACAGCGGGGAAGCCCGUCAGCCUGUUGGCCCCGCUGAUCCCGCCCCGUAGCGCAGGGCAGCCUUUAACCUUUAGCCCCAGUGGGCGCCAGCCACUCAGAUCGCUUCUUGUUGGUAUGUGUAGCGGCAGUGGCCGCCGGCGGAGCAGUCUGAGCCCGACGAUGAGGCCGGGGACGGGAGCUGAGCGUGGAGGCCUCAUGAUGGGGCACCCUGGCAUGCAUUAUGCCCCAAUGGGAAUGCACCCUAUGGGUCAGAGAGCGAAUAUGCCUCCUGUACCUCAUGGAAUGAUGCCGCAGAUGAUGCCCCCUAUGGGAGGGCCACCAAUGGGACAAAUGCCUGGAAUGAUGUCGUCAGUAAUGCCUGGAAUGAUGAUGUCUCAUAUGUCUCAGGCUUCCAUGCAGCCUGCCUUACCGCCAGGAGUAAAUAGUAUGGAUGUAGCAG
This 944-nucleotide long non-coding RNA is filed under the name Pan troglodytes (chimpanzee). RNAcentral's name for it is "long non-coding RNA NONPTRT011055". The record is from RNAcentral. Lineage: Eukaryota; Metazoa; Chordata; Mammalia; Primates; Hominidae.